This 497-nucleotide ribosomal RNA is filed under the name uncultured bacterium. Its description in RNAcentral is "partial 16S ribosomal RNA". It matches the Rfam family "Bacterial small subunit ribosomal RNA", at positions 28 to 507 of the family's 1533-position model. The record is from RNAcentral.
GAUGAACGCUGGCGGCGUGCCUAAUACAUGCAAGUCGAGCGAACAGAUGAGGAGCUUGCUCCUCUGACGUUAGCGGCGGACGGGUGAGUAACACGUGGAUAACCUACCUAUAAGACUGGGAUAACUUCGGGAAACCGGAGCUAAUACCGGAUAAUAUAUUGAACCGCAUGGUUCAAUAGUGAAAGACGGUUUUGCUGUCACUUAUAGAUGGAUCCGCGCCGCAUUAGCUAGUUGGUAAGGUAACGGCUUACCAAGGCAACGAUGCGUAGCCGACCUGAGAGGGUGAUCGGCCACACUGGAACUGAGACACGGUCCAGACUCCUACGGGAGGCAGCAGUAGGGAAUCUUCCGCAAUGGGCGAAAGCCUGACGGAGCAAAGCCGGGUGAGUGAUGAAGGUCUUCGGAUCGUAAAACUCUGUUAUUAGGGAAGAACAAAUGUGUAAGUAACUAUGCACGUCUUGACGGUACCUAAUCAGAAAGCCCCGGCUAACUACGUG